CCUACGGGAGGCAGCAGUGGGGAAUAUUGCACAAUGGGCGCAAGCCUGAUGCAGCCAUACCGCGUGUGUGAAGAAGGCCUUCGGGUUGUAAAGCACUUUCAGCGGGGAGGAAGGCGUUAAGGUUAAUAACCUUGGCGAUUGACGUUACCCGCAGAAGAAGCACCGGCUAACUCCGUGCCAGCAGCCGCGGUAAUACGGAGGGUGCAAGCGUUAAUCGGAAUUACUGGGCGUAAAGCGCACGCAGGCGGUCUGUCAAGUCGGAUGUGAAAUCCCCGGGCCCAACCUGGGAACUGCAUUCGAAACUGGCAGGCUAGAGUCUUGUAGAGGGGGGUAGAAUUCCAGGUGUAGCGGUGAAAUGCGUAGAGAUCUGGAGGAAUACCGGUGGCGAAGGCGGCCCCCUGGACAAAGACUGACGCUCAGGUGCGAAAGCGUGGGGAGCAAACAGGAUUAGAUACCCGGGUAGUC
RNAcentral lists this ribosomal RNA (465 nucleotides) under uncultured Klebsiella sp. Its description in RNAcentral is "bacterial SSU rRNA". It matches the Rfam family "Bacterial small subunit ribosomal RNA", at positions 338 to 795 of the family's 1533-position model. Lineage: Bacteria; Pseudomonadati; Pseudomonadota; Gammaproteobacteria; Enterobacterales; Enterobacteriaceae. The record is from RNAcentral.